This 446-nucleotide ribosomal RNA is filed under the name uncultured bacterium. RNAcentral describes it as "partial 16S ribosomal RNA". It matches the Rfam family "Bacterial small subunit ribosomal RNA", at positions 338 to 795 of the family's 1533-position model. The record is from RNAcentral.
CCUACGGGAGGCUGCAGUCGAGAAUCAUUCACAAUGGGGGAAACCCUGAUGGUGCGACGCCGCGUGGGGGAAUGAAGGUCUUCGGAUUGUAAACCCCUGUCAUGUGGGAGCAAAUUAAAAAGAUAGUACCACAAGAGGAAGAGACGGCUAACUCUGUGCCAGCAGCCGCGGUAAUACAGAGGUCUCAAGCGUUGUUCGGAAUCACUGGGGGUAAAGCGUGCGUAGGCUGUUUCGUAAGUCGUGUGUGAAAGGCGCGGGCUCAACCCGCGGAUGGCACAUGAUACUGCGAGACUAGUGUAAAGGAGGGGGAACCGGAAUUCGGGGUGUAGCAGUGAAAUGCGUAGAUAUCGAGAGGAACACUCGUGGCGAAGGCAGGUUCCUGGACAUUAACUGACGCUGAGGCACGAAGGCCAGGGGAGCGAAAGGGAUUAGAUACCCCUGUAGUC